CACGUUUCAUAUCCGGUAAAUAUUUCAUCAUUUAUGAUCCACGUUUUUUGAUUUGAUUAAUAAAAUGAAUACUGUAAGUAAUAAUGCCGAUAUGGAUUCAAAAUCAGAAGUAAAGAAGAAAAGUAAUCCUAAAAAGGAUGCUAAGAGAGAAGAAAAGUUAAAGAAAUUUCUACAAAAACAAGAAAAGUCACAAGCUUUGACGCAGAAUAAAAGUGAG
This is a long non-coding RNA of Centruroides sculpturatus (bark scorpion), 217 nucleotides long. RefSeq lists it as uncharacterized. NCBI's taxonomy places the organism in Eukaryota, Metazoa, Arthropoda, Arachnida, Scorpiones, Buthidae. The record is from RefSeq and is a predicted model, not a curated record. The transcript is spliced from 2 exons.